Molecule: unclassified non-coding RNA, 304 nt
Filed under: plant metagenome
Description: partial contains 5.8S ribosomal RNA, internal transcribed spacer 2, and large subunit ribosomal RNA
Rfam family: 5.8S ribosomal RNA (bases 1-105)
Source: RNAcentral
GAAAUGCGAUAAGUAAUGUGAAUUGCAGAAUUCAGUGAAUCAUCGAAUCUUUGAACGCACAUUGCGCCCGCCAGUAUUCUGGCGGGCAUGCCUGUUCGAGCGUCAUUUCAACCAUCAAGCCCCCGGCUUGUGUUGGGGACCUGCGGCUGCCCGCAGGCCCUGAAAAACAGUGGCGGGCUCGCUGUCACCCCGAGCGUAGUAGCAUACAUUCUCGCUCAGGGCGUGCUGCGGGUUCCGGCCGUUAAACGACCUUCAUAACCCAAGGUUGACCUCGGAUCAGGUAGGAAGACCCGCUAAACUUAAG